This is a non-coding RNA of Paramuricea clavata, 321 nucleotides long. The record is from the annotation of a GenBank genome assembly. Lineage: Eukaryota; Metazoa; Cnidaria; Anthozoa; Malacalcyonacea; Plexauridae.
UUCCGAACUUCGCAACGAAGUUCGGAACAUUUGUGGUCAAAGUUUCGUGAAAUCGACUGUUAUGACCAUUUACAUUGAAGAGAAUUUAAGGUUUUUAGAGUUUUUUGAGCAGAAAGCGGUAUUGCGAUUCUGGCAAAUAUUUUGAGUUAUUAUCAGAGUUUUCAAUGCAUGCAGCAUGCCAAGAUUCUAAUGUCGACAUCAAAGAAUUGAAUCAUAAAUAUCAAAUUGGGGUCGUGGUCGACAAAGUGUUUUAACGCGACCACAAAAGGCUUCUUUGAAAACAUUUAUUGUUAUGCAUGCAGCGUGCCAAGAUUCUAAUGU